CGUGUAAUUUGACCUCGACGAGCAGUCUCAUGAGAUAGCCUCAUGAAGAAACAACGUUCGCUUUCGGUGCUAACUUGCAGUCGGAAAAUGCUGCAUCACUCCUGUCUUUGAUUGGUAGCUUUUAGUUAUAUUAAUCAUCUUACAUGCGUCAAUUUGCGCGUGAUAAAACCGUUUCGAUAAUAUUAAUACGUUUGUUCACAACGGAAAGUGAAAGAGUGCUAGUGAUUCUAGGAUUAGAACAAGGAAUCGACGACCGAUAAAAGUACCACUCCGUAUAAGGCAAAUUCCAUAUUACUGCAAAGAUGG
Molecule: long non-coding RNA, 306 nt
Organism: Formica exsecta
Lineage: Eukaryota; Metazoa; Arthropoda; Insecta; Hymenoptera; Formicidae
Exons: 2
Source: RefSeq, a predicted model, not a curated record